Molecule: ribosomal RNA, 465 nt
Filed under: uncultured bacterium
Lineage: Bacteria
Description: partial 16S ribosomal RNA
Rfam family: Bacterial small subunit ribosomal RNA
Source: RNAcentral
CCUACGGGUGGCAGCAGUGGGGAAUAUUGCGCAAUGGGCGAAAGCCUGACGCAGCGACGCCGCGUGAGGGAUGAAGGUCUUCGGAUCGUAAACCUCUGUCAGCAGGGAAGAACGGUCACUUUGCUAAUCAGCAGUGAAUUGACGGUACCUGCAAAGGAUGCACCGGCUAACUCCGUGCCAGCAGCCGCGGUAAUACGGAGGGUGCGAGCGUUAAUCGGAAUUACUGGGCGUAAAGCGCUCGUAGGCGGUAUGUCAAGUCAAGGGGGAAAUCCACGCGCUCAACGUGGGAACUGCCUUUGAAACUGGCAAACUGGAGUGUGUGAGAGGAUAGUGGAAUGCCAGGUGUAGGAGUGAAAUCCGUAGAUAUCAGGAGGAACAUCAGUGGCGAAGGCGACUAUCUGGCACAUAACUGACGCUGAGGAGCGAAAGCGUGGGUAGCAAACAGGAUUAGAUACCCUGGUAGUC